UUUUUUAUAAAGUGCAAAAAGCAACCGAAUUAAUACCAGGGGCGCAUGGCUAAGCAUCGAUCUGGUCACUCGGCACGUCAUUUCGUCAAAACAACAUCUCAUUGCAGGACGGUAGGCCUCGUGGGACCCACCCGUCAGCUAUACACGGGGGACAACGGCUUCCAGUCCAGAUUUCAGACAGCCCUUCCAUGGAUCGGAUCAAAAUAAUACGCAGGGCAAUGUGCCUACGCGUCUUCCUUGUACAUGUGUGCACUAGAACGUGCAGCAGUAGCUACAGCUAAGCAGAGUUCGUUCAGCCUUCCCCCAACUACACUAGAUUAGCAUUAGUCAAACCAAAUCUCCCUCCGGUGGAUUUGUUUACACGUAACUCUACACUCGGGUUAUUCGUUCUUGCCGCCCGCCGCUCUUGCCGGACGGCGAGCAGGCCAGGCCGGCGGCUACUCGGCAAUGGCGCCGAGAUCAGGCACGAAGUCGCGCCCGAGGCUGGGGGCCCUCCGCGACCGCCGGCGGGACGCACCCUUCACGCCGCUCCUCGCCGCGGGGGCGCCGCUGGCCGAGUCGGGGAACACGAGCGGGCCGUCGUGGUCGCAGGCCAGCGCGGCGCUGGCGCGGAUCGCGAGCGCGGCCAUCUCCUCCGCCUGCAGCGGCCGGCGCCGCAUCGCCGCGGGCAGCACGAAGUAGAGCUGCCCGGGCUGCAGCUCCUCGUCGGCCGCCACCGCGGCCACCGCGCCGCCGAGCUCGAGCCCGUCGGCGCUGCACAGGAAGCACGCGCCCGCGGGCGCCGCCGUCGCCGCCGCAGCCGCGGCCUUCAUGGCCUGCGACGCCCGGGUGCCCCCGGGGAACCGCUGCAGCUGGCCGUCCGCGAGCACGACCCGCGCCGCCGUGGCCUCGCCCACCGCGGAGGCCCCCGUCACCGCCGCCACGGCCGUCGCCUCGCACGAGUUGCACGCGCCCAUGGUGAAGAUAUUAUAGUAGUAAAAAUCGCCGCCGAGGGUUAUUAAUCCGAGGUGAAGAGAGGAGCAGAGCUCGAGCUGCGCGCGCACGGUGGU
This 1049-nucleotide long non-coding RNA is filed under the name Triticum aestivum (bread wheat). RNAcentral's name for it is "long non-coding RNA (TAES_LNC007841)". Lineage: Eukaryota; Viridiplantae; Streptophyta; Magnoliopsida; Poales; Poaceae. The record is from RNAcentral.